CCCAUGGGUACAUGAAAGACUCAAAGUGGAAAAGGAAAACGGAAAUGCAAAGAUAAGGUUAGAGUACUGUGGUGGCGUGCCGAAGUAAACAUCGAGCGAUCGGCCAGUGAAAAUAAUCAGAGACACCUCCGAUCAAAUAGCAAUGUAAUAUCCCGCUAUCGUAAGGUUUUUAGGGUCAAAGGUGAUUGGAUCCCAGGACGAAGUGCUCUUCCCAAUCCAUUGCUCGGUAGGUUUACCAUGACAUUAAAUGUUAGCAACCAUGCUCAGAGUCAUUCCGCUGACGGUCAAGUUCUAAUUACGUGUAUAUGACUAUUUGUUGUGAAAUGCUGAGAUUCACUUGUCAAAUUAUAUGUAUGUAUUUAAUGAUUGAUGAUGCCAUUAUGAAUACAUGACUAGGUUUUAUGAGUUGUUUUCAAAGGAAUUGUAAUUGAGCAUUAUGAAUUUCGGAUUCUAAAAGAAUAUGGAUUAACGUAUAA
Non-coding RNA from Theobroma cacao (cacao), 476 nucleotides. NCBI's taxonomy places the organism in Eukaryota, Viridiplantae, Streptophyta, Magnoliopsida, Malvales, Malvaceae. The record is from RefSeq and is a predicted model, not a curated record.